Molecule: non-coding RNA, 125 nt
Organism: Hordeum vulgare subsp. vulgare (domesticated barley)
Lineage: Eukaryota; Viridiplantae; Streptophyta; Magnoliopsida; Poales; Poaceae
Source: Rfam
AUUAUACUCCCUCCAUCUGGAAAUACUUGUCAUAGAAAUGAAUGUAUCUAGAUGUAUNNNNNUUCUAGAUACAUCCAUUUUUAUACAUUUGUGCGACAAGUAAUUCCGGACGAAGGGAGUACUAU